ACGAACGCUGGCGGCGUGCUUAACACAUGCAAGUCGAACGGAAAGGCCCUGCUUUUGUGGGGUGCUCGAGUGGCGAACGGGUGAGUAACACGUGAGUAACCUGCCCUUGACUUUGGGAUAACUUCAGGAAACUGGGGCUAAUACCGGAUAGGAGCUCCUGCUGCAUGGUGGGGGUUGGAAAGUUUCGGCGGUUGGGGAUGGACUCGCGGCUUAUCAGCUUGUUGGUGGGGUAGUGGCUUACCAAGGCUUUGGCGGGUAGCCGGCCUGAGAGGGUGACCGGCCACAUUGGGACUGAGAUACGGCCCAGACUCCUACGGGAGGCAGCAGUGGGGAAUUUUGCACAAUGGGCGGAAGCCUGAUGCAGCAACGCCGCGUGCGGGAUGACGGCCUUCGGGUUGUAAACCGCUUUCGCCUGUGACGAAGCGUGAGUGACGGUAAUGGGUAAAGAAGCACCGGCUAACUACGUG
Molecule: ribosomal RNA, 467 nt
Filed under: uncultured bacterium
Lineage: Bacteria
Description: partial 16S ribosomal RNA
Rfam family: Bacterial small subunit ribosomal RNA
Source: RNAcentral